GUCGUGCAGGGCGAUGUCUAGGGAGGAGUUGGCAAGAACGAUGCCUGUUAGUCCACCAAUGGUGAAGAGGAAAAUAAAGCCUAGGGCUCAUAGUAUGGGUGGGUCUCAUUUGAUUGUUCCACCGUGUAGGGUUGCUAGUCAGCUGAAGACUUUAAUGCCAGUGGGGAUUGCAAUAAUUAUGGUGGCGGAUGUGAAGUAAGCUCGGGUAUCUACGUCCAUUCCAACUGUAAAUAUGUGGUGAGCUCAUACGAUAAAACCCAAGAAACCAAUGGAUAAUAUGGCUCAGACUAUGCCUAUGCAGCCAAAGGGUUCUUUUUUACCGGCGUAGUAGGCUACAACAUGGGAAAUAAUUCCGAAUCCUGGUAGGAUAAGGAUGUAGACUUCUGGAUGGCCAAAAAAUCAGAAUAAGUGUUGAUAUAAAAUUGGGUCUCCGCCUCCUGCGGGGUCAAAGAAUGUAGUGUUUAGGUUUCGAUCUGUUAGAAGCAUUGUAAUGCCAGCAGCAAGGACUGGUAGGGAGAGAAGAAGUAGAACUGCAGUAAUUAGGACAGAUCAAACGAAUAGAGGGGUUUGGUAUUGUGAGAGAGCAGGUGGUUUUAUGUUAGAAAAUGUAGCCCAUUUCUACCAUCUCAUGAGCUAUACCUUGACCUGUCUUAUUAGUGAGAUGUUGCUGUUGUGCCCACUGUUAAACCCUCAGUUUUGGGGUGGGCUGACGACGGCGGUAUAUAGGCUGAUUUGGCAAGGUAUGGUUGGGUGUAUCGUGGGUUAUCGGUUAUAGAACAGGCUCCUCUAGGUGGGUUUGGAGCACCGCCAAGUCCUUAGAGUUUUAAGCGUUUGUGCUCGUAGUACUCAGGCGGAUGCUUAAGUGGUGAAAGCAUCAGGAUUUAGGGCCAGGCAUAGUGGGGUAUCUAAUCCCAGUUUGUGUCCUGGCUUUCGUGGAGUUUUGUUGAUCAUGAAGCUAAGAUCAUUUCUAUGGGAGUAUUAGAUGCAUCUUGUGCUUAUAACAGCUUGGUUACAUUUCAGUCUUAGUUGAAGUGAUAGUGGAAAACCACUCUUUACGCCGUAUAAAGUUAAUUUGGGUUUCUUGUGUGACCGCGGUGGCUGGCACAAGAUUUACCAACCCUGGUAGGUUGCUUUAACUAAGUCAAGUUUACACUUAUUGCUUAAUAUUGAUUACUGCUGAAAACCUGUGGGGGCGUGGCUAGGCAAGGCGUUUUGGGCUACAAUCAGAGUGGUGUGCCUGAUGCCUGCUCCUGCUGUCUUUUUAGUGUGCUGAGGGCAUUUUCACUGGGAUGCGGAUACUUGCAUGUAUAUAUUUGGCAAGAACUAACUGUAAGGUUAGGACUAAGUCUUUUUUGUCCUUGGGUAUGUGCAAUAGCCGUCUUAACAUCUUCAGUGUUAUGCUUUAUUGUAAGCUACAGGGACUAAGGCUGUUUUAGGCAUAGUGAUUAUUAUUGGGGCUUGUUUUAGUUGUAGUGAUAGUUGACAUUGAUUUAGGAUUUGUUUAGUGGUUGGAGAAGUAGUACAAUUGGAUAACAAAAAUGUGUUGUUGAGAGGUUAGAAGAUUUAAAAAAAUGGGAAAAAAUCUUGGGAAAAUCUGGGAAAAAUGGGGAAAAAUCUGGGAAAAUCUGGGAAAAAUGAGG
RNAcentral lists this long non-coding RNA (1640 nucleotides) under Manacus vitellinus (golden-collared manakin). RNAcentral describes it as "lncRNA (ENSMVIG00005010994.1)". The record is from RNAcentral. Lineage: Eukaryota; Metazoa; Chordata; Aves; Passeriformes; Pipridae.